RNAcentral lists this ribosomal RNA (468 nucleotides) under uncultured bacterium. RNAcentral describes it as "partial 16S ribosomal RNA". It matches the Rfam family "Bacterial small subunit ribosomal RNA", at positions 28 to 507 of the family's 1533-position model. The record is from RNAcentral.
GACGAACGCUGGCGGCGUGCUUAACACAUGCAAGUCGAACGGAAAGGCCCUGCUUUUGUGGGGUGCUCGAGUGGCGAACGGGUGAGUAACACGUGAGUAACCUGCCCUUGACUUUGGGAUAACUUCAGGAAACUGGGGCUAAUACCGGAUAGGAGCUACUGCUGCAUGGUGGGGGUUGGAAAGUUUCGGCGGUUGGGGAUGGAUUCGCGGGUUACCCGCUUGUUGGUGGGGUAGUUGCUUACAAAGGCUUUGACGGGUAGCCGGCGUGAGAGGGUGACCGGCCACAUUGGGACUGAGAUACGGACCAGACGCCUACGGGAGGCAGCAGUGGGGAGUAUUGCACAAUGGGCGGAAGCCUGAUGCAGCGACGCCGCGUGCGGGAUGACGGCCUUCGGGGUGUAAACCGCUUUCGCCUGUGACGAAGCGUGAGUGACGGUAAUGGGUAAAUAAGCACCGGCUAACUACGUG